Molecule: ribosomal RNA, 775 nt
Filed under: uncultured fungus
Lineage: Eukaryota; Fungi
Description: partial 18S ribosomal RNA
Rfam family: Eukaryotic small subunit ribosomal RNA (bases 246-775)
Source: RNAcentral
CUUCUGUCUCGGGGGGGGGAAACUUCUGUAGACUCGUUUGAACACAAAACUCGGGAGAAAAUCUUUUUUCCCCAAGAUUGUUUUUCAUUACUCGAGAAAAAAAAUGUGUGGGGUUUGAAAGCCUGAUCAAAUCCCCUUCUGUGUUUUAAAACAAAAAAAUACGCCCCGACUGGGGGGUAGGGAGGGUUUUUUUUCGGGCCCCCCGUUCGGGCACCAUAAGAAAAAAUAAAAACUCUUGCCCCCGGGGGGAAGUAUCUUCCACGGCAAAACAAAAAAAAUUGGCGGGAAGGGCCCCCCAGGGGGGCCCCUGCCGCUUAUUUUGCCCCAACAGGGGGGAACUCCCCAGGUCCAGACACAAUAGGGAUUGACAUAUUGAGACCUUUCUCUUGAUUUUGUGGGUGGUGGUGCAUGGCCGCUCUUAGUUGGUGGGGUGACUCGUCUGCUUAAUUGCGAUAACGAACGAGACCUUAACCUGCUAAAUAGCCCGCAUUGCUCCGGCAGUGCGCUGGCUUCUUAGAGGGACUUUCGGCUCAAGCCGAAGGAAGUUUGAGGCAAUAACAGGUCUGUGAUGCCCUUAGAUGUUCUGGGCCGCCCGCGCGCUACACUGACGGGGUCAGCGAGUUCCUUGGCCGAAAGGCCCGGGUAAUCUUGUUAGCCCCCGUCGUGCUGGGGAUAGAGCAUUGCAAUUAUUGCUCUUCAACGAGGAAUCCCUAGUAAGCGCUAGUCAUCAGCUUGCGUUGAUUACGUCCCUGCCCUUUUCUUCUCACCGCCCGUC